This 253-nucleotide ribosomal RNA is filed under the name uncultured bacterium. RNAcentral's name for it is "partial 16S ribosomal RNA". It matches the Rfam family "Bacterial small subunit ribosomal RNA", at positions 524 to 776 of the family's 1533-position model. The record is from RNAcentral.
UACGGAGGGUGCAAGCGUUAUCCGGAUUUACUGGGUUUAAAGGGUGCGUAGGCGGCCCUGUAAGUCAGUGGUGAAAUACUCCAGCUUAACUGGAGGGGUGCCAUUGAUACUGCAGGGCUUGAGUGGAGUCGAAGUAGGCGGAAUUGACGGUGUAGCGGUGAAAUGCUUAGAUAUCGUCAAGAACACCGAUAGUGAAGACAGUUUACUAGGCUUCUACUGACGCUGAGGCACGAAAGUGUGGGGAUCAAACAGG